This 3471-nucleotide long non-coding RNA is filed under the name Nicotiana tabacum (common tobacco). RNAcentral describes it as "long non-coding RNA (NTAB_LNC002348)". Lineage: Eukaryota; Viridiplantae; Streptophyta; Magnoliopsida; Solanales; Solanaceae. The record is from RNAcentral.
UUUGAUAUUUUUUUUAGUUAAUUAAGCUAAUUUUAAAGCAUAGCUAGUCAUAAGGCCCAAGUUUCUAGCCCGUUCCUUAAGCCCAAUACCCAAUACCCAUUAAGUUAAUCCUAGGGACCCUUCUAGACUCUUCUUUGGAACAAAUAAAUAAAUAAAAAGACCCUAAGGACCUAGGACAAUUAACACAAAAAUACACAUUUAGACCUAGAUCUAUAUAAUAGGGGUAAUGCUUAAUGCUGAAGGGGACGAAAAUACACACACAAAAAUAACGCCUGGGAAAGAGCUGAAAAGCUGUGCCGGUAACAGAACGACCUCCCCCAUCGUUCUUCACCAUCUUCAGCAUCGUCAAAACUUGAACACCCAAAACAACACACACCCAUAUAAACGGACACACACACAAAGAACGCCAGAAAUCAGCGACACACCAGACUUGCAAGCUUCUUAGCUGUCGUUGCUGGAAACCGGCCAGCUCUCACCCUUUCCAUGGCUGCCGCUGCCGGAGGUGAUGACCGGCGACGGCUAUGACUGUCACUCUUGUGCUUAGCCGCUGUUUCUGACCUUUCUUUCCCCUCUACUUCUCUGUUUCACUGGAGUCGCACCAUCGACGUCGAACGAACAUAAAACCGGCGAUAGUCGUCGAAACUGUUGAAAUUUGUUUCUGCUUAGUUGUAUCGAAAUUAAGGUGUGGAUGUCAUUCGAGGUUGUCCGUUCGAGAUUUCCGGGCAGAUUCGUGGUUCGUUGAGGUUCCGAUCGUAGUCCGAAAUCGGAUCUAGAUUGUUGUUUUUGCUCUAAAUCUUGUAAGGUCCAAAUUCCUUUCGGAUUUCUGCUUGGCGAGAAUUCUUUAAGGUCCAUUUCUAACUGUACUCUUCAAUGUUUUUGUAUGAUUCAUGUGAAUGAGUUUGAUAAAAAUGGUUAGCUUAUGUGCCUUGAAAUUUUAUCUUGAUAUGCAAUUUGGUUAAAUAAGAUCUGCUGCUAAUGAGCAUGUGUGUGAAGUUCUGUUUGAUUGAUUUACUAGAGUUAAAUAUUUUAUCUAAGUUGAAUAGGCUAUGUUGAAAACUGAAAGAGUCCAACGAACUCAUUUCAUCUACUAGAUGGAGUAAGGCAGUAACCAUGUUUGAGGACAAAGAACGGUUCUAGGCCGUUGAACGAGAAGCUGAUCGUGAAGAUCUCUUCAGUACUUUAUUCAAUUAAUUAUGAUUUUUGAGAAGCUUUCUUUCGAUACCAAAAAAGAACAAAGGAGUGUGAAGUGAAAUCAGGAAGUUGGAUAAUGUAUAUAGUGUUGAAAUUGACAAUGAAAUAAGAUAUCAGUAGCUUAUGACUUCGUCAUUUACAACCGAUAAUAAUUGGUUUGGUUGGUUGAAAUGUGAGGUAGUUCAUUUUACUUUUAUUUUUAUCAAUAUAGAUUCGCUAGUAGUAUGUAUUUAUGACAUUUCCGUGGCAUAAUUAUGGGUUCCAAAAUUAAGAUCGGAGUAUGCGUUCGCGCAACUUCGAAAAAACUUUCUUAAUAAUAGAAUGGGUUUGCAUAGGCUACUAAUUAAUUUAGUUCAUCUAGACUUGGGGUGUGCCAUUUAGUGAAUUUUUCAUGGCCCUCGCAAACUUGAAAGUGCGUAGUUGCUUUAGGCGCGUAAUUUAAAUUAACUUCCUUAAACUCGGGUGUGCAUUUCGUGUGACCCAAACCAAAUCUCAACGCUAGAUAAAAUGUGUCACAGACUGCGGGUGCAUUUCAUGUGGCGUGGUCCAAGGUGCGUUUUAAAUAGCGUUGAAUCUUCUUAAAAAAUGACUAAAAGCGGUUAAUAAAUUAAAAUCUACCAUAGGUUAAAACAUGUUUUAAAAUCAGAUAAUCAGGCCAAUAAUAACAGUUGAGCCACCGUGCUAGAACCACGGAACUUGGGAAUGCCUAACACCUUCUCCCGGGUUAACAGAAUUCCUUACCCGAAUUUCUACGUUCGCGGACUGUAAAACAGAGUCAAUCUUUUCCUCGAUUCGGGAUUUGAACCGGUGACUUGGGACACCAUAAAUUAUACCCAAGUGGCGACUCUGAAUUUGAUUAAAUAAUCUCGUUUCGAUUGUCACUUAAAUUGAAAAAACUCCCUUACUUCUUCUCGGGGUGUAGUAAAAAGGAGGUGUGACAACUCUAGCGACUGUGCUGGGGACAAGAACCCAGAACCUCUGGUUCAGGGUUCAAGAAUUCGAGCUUAGAUGAAUUGUUAUAUUUGGCUUUAUUUAUUAUCUAAUUUUGUUACAUGUUUGGGCCUAAUGUGCUAAAUAUUUCUUUUACCGCUUUGAUAUUCUGUGAACUGUAUAUAAAUUGUUACGAAACUCUCCUCUCUCUGAGUCUUCUAAAUCAUCUGGGAAGUGUGCACUUCGUGUGACUUCUAUUCUGUUAGAGUCAUAUUCCAAUUUUAGAACGAGGUUCGGACAAGUUGCAAAGCCAGUGAAGCUUCCGUAUUCCCGGUACGCUGCCCCCCUAGGCUCGAGCUGUCCGCUCGGGUAAGCCAGGUCUAAAACAAAUAAACCCAGGUUUUUAAACCUAGAAUAACAUAGCCUCAUGCCGGAUCCCUAGUAGUAACGUUUGUUGCAUCACGUGCAUUUGACUUUGGGGGCUCAACACAGGGGUUGGGUCCGUCUAGGACAGGUGUACCCAAAAUAACAGACCAUCUUGAUGCAUCCUACGUGCUACAUGUUGCAUUUCUUCAAGGGUAAAAGGGUCAUUUGGCGGACCAAUGAUAGUUGAGGGCAAAUGAAAAGAAAGAAAAAAAAGAAAAAAAAGUGAAAUAUAAAAAUGAAGCAAGUGGGGCUCAGUUACAAUUUUCUUUCACACUUUUUCAAGAAAAAAAAUUGAAAAGGAAAAAUCCAAAAAAAAGAGUUUGCACUUUUCCCGUCAUUUUUAAAAAAAGGAAAAAUAAAAAAAAUAGAAAAAGAAAAUCCAAAAAGAGUUUACAUGUUUCAUCAUUUUUUCCAAAAAAGAAAGAGAACAGAAAACAUAUUUUCUCUAAAUUACUUGUUUUUUUUAAUUUUCGCUUGUAUCCAAUCUGCCCGAACUACGCAUACCUGAUUCUCGUCUUUUGGGGCGUGAUACGUAGGCAACCCACAUAGGGUCCGGUCUUCCUAGUAAAUCUUAGGUUCUUGGCUUUGCGGGAUCUUAGCCAAUUUUGCACUUCUAGCCACAUUUUGGCCAAACAACCCAUUUUGCAAAAAUAGCCUCAACCAUGUCUUGCAUGUGUCUAGUAGGGAAUGUUAUUGUCUCACAUAGUGUUGGUUUCAGUUUUCUCAUAUAGGUAUGGAUUUACUUACUGGAGUUUGAGCAUGAUAGAGCCCCAGGACCAUUUAGUCAGGAUCGCUCAUUCAGGAGUGGAUUAAAAGGAGAUUUUCUUUUCUUGUUUAUGUCUUGAGUUUGUUUUCCCUUUUUAUGUUGUCUUUUGCCUUCUUGUUUGGUAUAGUAAUGUCGAGUUUUUUUUAUUAUUGUACUUU